This 83-nucleotide small RNA is filed under the name Marmota monax (woodchuck). Lineage: Eukaryota; Metazoa; Chordata; Mammalia; Rodentia; Sciuridae. The record is from RNAcentral.
GCCGGGUAUGGUGGCGCAUACGUGUAAUCCCAGUGGCUUGGGAGGCUGAGGCAGGAGGAUCGAGAGUUCAAAGCCAGCCUCAG